UUAAUUCUCCCUCCGUCCCAAAAUUCUUGUCUUAAAUUUGUCUAGAUACGGAUGUAUCAAGUCACGUUUUCGUAUUAGAUAUAUCCGUAUCUAGACAAAUCUAAGAAAGAAUUUUGGAACGGAGGGAGUACAUU
Molecule: non-coding RNA, 134 nt
Organism: Triticum aestivum (bread wheat)
Lineage: Eukaryota; Viridiplantae; Streptophyta; Magnoliopsida; Poales; Poaceae
Source: Rfam